Molecule: ribosomal RNA, 392 nt
Filed under: uncultured bacterium
Lineage: Bacteria
Description: bacterial SSU rRNA
Rfam family: Bacterial small subunit ribosomal RNA (bases 1-305)
Source: RNAcentral
AGCUAGUUGGUGGGAUAACGGCCUACCAAGGCGACGAUGCGUAGCCGACCUGAGAGGGUGAUCGGCCACACUGGGACUGAGACACGGCCCAGACUCCUACGAGAGGCAGCAGUAGGGAAUCUUCCACAAUGGACGGAAGUCUGAUGGAGCAAUGCCGCGUGAGCGAAGAAGGUUUUCGGAUCGUAAAGCUCUGUUGUGAGGGAAGAACAAGUACGGGAGUAACUGCCCGUACCUUGACGGUACCUCAUUAGAAAGCCACGGCUAACUACGUGCCAGCAGCCGCGGUAAUACGUAGGUGGCUGUCGACGCGGCUGCUGGCACGGAGUUAGCCGAUGCUGAUUCCUCUGGUACCGUCAGGUUGCUUUCACAACUUUCUUCCCAGAGAAAAGGGU